GUCUAGGAGGACUUAUGUGAACCAUGAGUGCGGCGCAGGGCACAGACUAAUGCCAAUUCUGAGUAACUCACUCCUUUUUCAGGAAUGAGUGCAGAGGAAAAUAAAUGGACUUUUCAGGCUUUGCCAUCUAUUACAGAAAAACAAAAGUAGUAUUGUUACUGAAACACGAGGGAUUCAGUCUAGGGCCUGCUGCUCGCUUCACAGAAAGCCAUUGACUGAGGUCAUGAGUAUUGGCAAGGAAGGAUUUAACCAGGUGCUGCAGCCAAGAAGAUGGGAGCUCAGCCUCAAAUCCAUCUCCAUGACCAAGUAAAACUGCAGGCUUAUACAGCUGGGAAGAUGUGUAAGAAAUGUGUAAGAAAACAGGAACUGGGGAGGGGCAGGGAAGCAAUCAUGAGGAGUGAGAGGCCUGGCAUCUCAUUGUCUGGAUGUGGUGAUCUGGCUCUCCUUUGAUAUCGAACAGGAAAGCUUUGGAGCAAAGUUCCUCAACCGUGCUGAGCCAACAGUGGUUCCAGUGGAUGCAGCAAUGUGAGUUAGGAUAAAGAUCUGAAGAUAAAAGAGG
Molecule: long non-coding RNA, 559 nt
Filed under: Papio anubis (olive baboon)
Lineage: Eukaryota; Metazoa; Chordata; Mammalia; Primates; Cercopithecidae
Description: lncRNA (ENSPANG00000045569.1)
Source: RNAcentral